Gallus gallus (chicken) is the source of this 546-nucleotide long non-coding RNA. The record is from Ensembl. Lineage: Eukaryota; Metazoa; Chordata; Aves; Galliformes; Phasianidae.
CCCUUACAUAAGGAUGAGGAGGGGUGGAUCUGGGCUCCACCCCUUCUGGUCACUCAGGUGCACCUGAGCUUCCUGGGUUAGCCAUUCCUUCUCACCUGGUGCUCAACCAUUGGGUCAGGCUGUGGCCUAGAAAUUCUGCUGUACUAGUAGGUGUAAAGGGCAGGGAGAACAAUUACUGAAACGUGCUUCUACAAGGCAGAGCAGAGCACAAGAGGCUAGACAGAGCAUUUCAUUGUCUGAUUACAUCUAUUGAUGGGCUUACAGUGGAUCUGAUUUUAACAGCACCUGCUGAUUUUAUGGCCCUUCCCAAGCAUACCUAAGCAUCUGGCGGUUUCCCUCUUCGUCCUACUAUAUAAAGGAUUGAUUGUACCUUACACUGUAGACACCGAUCCUGCUUUAAUUAAAGAUCAACAGAGAGAACUCUCAGGAUGCCAGCAAUCUAUUCCAGUUCAUCACUAUUGCUGUAUUCAGAAUAAGCUGUUUUUUUCAUGUGGGGGGAAAACUUUAUGAUCAUAGUGCUCUCUCUUUUUUGCUUCACAUGCUGAG